Girardinichthys multiradiatus is the source of this 521-nucleotide long non-coding RNA. RefSeq lists it as uncharacterized. The record is from RefSeq and is a predicted model, not a curated record. The transcript has 3 exons. Lineage: Eukaryota; Metazoa; Chordata; Actinopteri; Cyprinodontiformes; Goodeidae.
UACUGAAGCUGUCAGCUGUAAACACCUAUUGUUAGCAUGGGACGCUUUAAAGCUGCUGCUGCUGACUAAGAUGAGACUGACUUGAAUAGAUCAAGUGAUUCUGGCCUGGUUCACAAUAACAUGGAUAUUUUCCCAAACUUUCUGCGGUGUUUGCAUCUUUUCUCCACAUGAAACUGGACUUUAAGGGCCAUGAAAAGCAAGGUCACGUCAGGCCACGAGUGCAGCUGAGCCCUGCUCUGGAUUACCUUCAAGGUUCUGACCACAAGCCCUCGUCCAGGAUAACCCACCGUGGUUCCGCCUCCUUACAAGUUGGUGAAUACUUCAAUUAAUUUACCACAGCCCACGGAUCUCCCUGGAUCCACUGGACCCAAUCAUAGAUUCAUUCCUUGUUCUACGUGCUCUGCCUGUCCAUCCUCCAACACCAACUAGAGAAACCUGCUCACACCAACUGGAGAAACCUGCUCACACCACAUGCCGACCUGCCAACCUCAGCUUCCAUGGUUUGCUCACUCAUCCCCAGC